UCAAUCUGAGAGUUUGAUCCUGGCUCAGAACGAACGCUGGCGGCAGGCCUAACACAUGCAAGUCGAACGCUGCAGCAAUGCAGAGUGGCAGACGGGUGAGUAACGCGUGGGAACCUUCCCAGUGGUACGGAAUAGCCCAGGGAAACUUGGGGUAAUACCGUAUACGCCCCUCGGGGGAAAGAUUUAUCGCCAUUGGAUGGGCCCGCGUCGGAUUAGCUAGUUGGUGAGGUAAUGGCUCACCAAGGCGACGAUCCGUAGCUGGUCUGAGAGGAUGAUCAGCCACACUGGGACUGAGACACGGCCCAGACUCCUACGGGAGGCAGCAGUGGGGAAUAUUGG
This 339-nucleotide ribosomal RNA is filed under the name Planctomycetota bacterium. RNAcentral describes it as "bacterial SSU rRNA". It matches the Rfam family "Bacterial small subunit ribosomal RNA", at positions 1 to 367 of the family's 1533-position model. The record is from RNAcentral. Lineage: Bacteria; Pseudomonadati; Planctomycetota.